UGCAGUCGAACGCUGAAGCUUGGUGCUUGCACUGGGUGGAUGAGUGGCGAACGGGUGAGUAAUACGUGAGUAACCUGCCCUUGACUCUGGGAUAAGCCUGGGAAACUGGGUCUAAUACUGGAUACGACAUGUCACCGCAUGGUGGUGUGUGGAAAGGGUUUUACUGGUUUUGGAUGGGCUCACGGCCUAUCAGCUUGUUGGUGGGGUAAUGGCUCACCAAGGCGACGACGGGUAGCCGGCCUGAGAGGGUGACCGGCCACACUGGGACUGAGACACGGCCCAGACUCCUACGGGAGGCAGCAGUGGGGAAUAUUGCACAAUGGGCGGAAGCCUGAUGCAGCGACGCCGCGUGAGGGAUGACGGCCUUCGGGUUGUAAACCUCUUUCAGCACGGAAGAAGCGAAAGUGACGGUACGUGCAGAAGAAGCGCCGGCUAACUACGUGCCAGCAGCCGCGGUAAUACGUAGGGCGCAAGCGUUGUCCGGAAUUAUUGGGCGUAAAGAGCUCGUAGGCGGUUUGUCGCGUCUGCUGUGAAAGCCCGGGGCUUAACCCCGGGUGUGCAGUGGGUACGGGCAGACUUGAGUGCAGUAGGGGAGACUGGAAUUCCUGGUGUAGCGGUGAAAUGCGCAGAUAUCAGGAGGAACACCGAUGGCGAAGGCAGGUCUCUGGGCUGUUACUGACGCUGAGGAGCGAAAGCAUGGGGAG
RNAcentral lists this ribosomal RNA (704 nucleotides) under Kocuria rhizophila. Its description in RNAcentral is "bacterial SSU rRNA". It matches the Rfam family "Bacterial small subunit ribosomal RNA", at positions 56 to 768 of the family's 1533-position model. The record is from RNAcentral. Lineage: Bacteria; Bacillati; Actinomycetota; Actinomycetes; Micrococcales; Micrococcaceae.